Molecule: long non-coding RNA, 354 nt
Filed under: Setaria italica (foxtail millet)
Lineage: Eukaryota; Viridiplantae; Streptophyta; Magnoliopsida; Poales; Poaceae
Description: long non-coding RNA (SITA_LNC005390)
Source: RNAcentral
GGGCGCGCCGCCGGACCUCGGCUCCGUGCUCGGCCACCCCACCCCCAACCUCCGCGACCUCUACGCGCUGGGCCGCAAGCUCGGCCAGGGCCAGUUCGGCACCACCUACCUCUGCACCGAGCUCGCCACGGGGGUCGACUACGCCUGCAAGUCCAUCUCCAAGCGCAAGCUCAUCACCAAGGAGGACAUCGACGACGUGCGCCGCGAGAUCCAGAUCAUGCACCACCUCUCCGGCCACAGGAACGUCGUCGCCAUCAAGGGCGCGUACGAGGACCAGCUCUACGUCCACAUCGUCAUGGAGCUCUGCGCCGGCGGCGAGCUCUUCGACCGGAUCAUACAGCGCGGACACUACAG